UACGGAGGGUGCAAGCGUUAUCCGGAAUCAUUGGGUUUAAAGGGUCCGUAGGCGGAUUUAUAAGUCAGUGGUGAAAGCCUGAUGCUUAACAUCAGAACUGCCAUUGAUACUGUAAGUCUUGAAUUCGAUCGAAGUGGGCGGAAUAUGACAUGUGGCGGUGAAAUGCUUAGAUAUGUCAUAGAACACCGAUAGCGAAGGCAGCUCACUAGGUCUGGAUUGACGCUCAGGGACGAAAGCGUGGGGAGCAAACAGG
Molecule: ribosomal RNA, 253 nt
Filed under: uncultured bacterium
Lineage: Bacteria
Description: partial 16S ribosomal RNA
Rfam family: Bacterial small subunit ribosomal RNA
Source: RNAcentral